Molecule: ribosomal RNA, 371 nt
Filed under: uncultured bacterium
Lineage: Bacteria
Description: bacterial SSU rRNA
Rfam family: Bacterial small subunit ribosomal RNA
Source: RNAcentral
AGAGGUGGCAAGCGUUGUUCGGAAUUACUGGGCGUAAAGGGCGCGUAGGCGGCCAUCUAAGUCAGACGUGAAAUCCCCCGGCUUAACCUGGGAACUGCGUCUGAUACUGGACGGCUUGAGUAUGGGAGAGGGAUGUAGAAUUCCAGGUGUAGCGGUGAAAUGCGUAGAUAUCUGGAGGAAUACCGGUGGCGAAGGCGGCAUCCUGGACCAUUACUGACGCUGAGGCGCGAAAGCUAGGGGAGCAAACGGGAUUAGAUACCCCGGUAGUCCUAGCCCUAAACGAUGAAUACUUGGUGUGGCGGGUAUCGAUCCCUGCCGUGCCGAAGCUAACGCAUUAAGUAUUCCGCCUGGGGAGUACGGUCGCAAGGCUG